This 482-nucleotide ribosomal RNA is filed under the name uncultured bacterium. Its description in RNAcentral is "partial 16S ribosomal RNA". It matches the Rfam family "Bacterial small subunit ribosomal RNA", at positions 30 to 507 of the family's 1533-position model. The record is from RNAcentral.
AUUGAACGCUGGCGGCAUGCCUUACACAUGCAAGUCGAACGGUAACAGGUCUUCGGAUGCUGACGAGUGGCGAACGGGUGAGUAAUACAUCGGAACGUGCCCGAUCGUGGGGGAUAACGAGGCGAAAGCUUUGCUAAUACCGCAUACGAUCUACGGAUGAAAGCGGGGGAUCUUCGGACCUCGCGCCGACGGAGCGGCCGAUGGCAGAUUAGGUAGUUGGUGGGAUAAAAGCUUACCAAGCCGACGAUCUGUAGCUGGUCUGAGAGGAUGAUCAGCCACACUGGGACUGAGACACGGCCCAGACUCCUACGGGAGGCAGCAGUGGGGAAUUUUGGACAAUGGGCGAAAGCCUGAUCCAGCCAUGCCGCGUGCAGGAUGAAGGCCUUCGGGUUGUAAACUGCUUUUGUACGGAACGAAAAGCCUCUUUCUAAUAAAGAGGGGUCAUGACGGUACCGUAAGAAUAAGCACCGGCUAACUACGUG